GUGGGGAAUAUUGGACAAUGGGCGAAAGCCUGAUCCAGCCAUGCCGCGUGUGUGAAGAAGGUCUUCGGAUUGUAAAGCACUUUAAGUUGGGAGGAAGGGCAGUAAGUUAAUACCUUGCUGUUUUGACGUUACCGACAGAAUAAGCACCGGCUAACUUCGUGCCAGCAGCCGCGGUAAUACGAAGGGUGCAAGCGUUAAUCGGAAUUACUGGGCGUAAAGCGCGCGUAGGUGGUUUUGUAAGUUGGAGGUGAAAUCCCCGGGAUCAACCUGGGAACUGCCUCCAAAACUGCAUGACUAGAGUACGGUAGAGGGUAGUGGAAUUUCCUGUGUAGCGGUGAAAUGCGUAGAUAUAGGAAGGAACACCAGUGGCGAAGGCGACUACCUGGACUGAUACUGACACUGAGGUGCGAAAGCGUGGGGAGCAAACAGGAUUAGAAACCCUUGUAGUCC
Molecule: ribosomal RNA, 450 nt
Filed under: uncultured bacterium
Lineage: Bacteria
Description: partial 16S ribosomal RNA
Rfam family: Bacterial small subunit ribosomal RNA
Source: RNAcentral